CACCGCGGUUAUACGAGAGGCCCAAGUUGAUAGAUGCCGGCGUAAAAAGUGGUCAGUAUAAUGUUACACUAAAGCCAAACACCUUCAAAGCUGUCAUACGCAAUCGAAGGCAGGAAGCUCCUCCACAAAAGUGGCUUUAAACCAUACAAUCCACGAAAGCUAGGGAA
RNAcentral lists this ribosomal RNA (167 nucleotides) under Awaous grammepomus (largesnout goby). RNAcentral's name for it is "partial 12S rRNA". Lineage: Eukaryota; Metazoa; Chordata; Actinopteri; Gobiiformes; Gobiidae. The record is from RNAcentral.